GACGUAGGGGGCAAGCGUUGUCCGGAUUUACUGGGCGUAAAGCGCACGUAGGCGGCUUUGUAAGUUAGAGGUGAAAGCCCGGGGCUCAACUCCGGAAUUGCCUUUAAGACUGCAUCGCUAGAAUUGUGGAGAGGUAAGUGGAAUUCCGAGUGUAGAGGUGAAAUUCGUAGAUAUUCGGAAGAACACCAGUGGCGAAGGCGACUUACUGGACACAUAUUGACGCUGAGGUGCGAAAGCGUGGGGAGCAAACAGG
Molecule: ribosomal RNA, 253 nt
Filed under: uncultured bacterium
Lineage: Bacteria
Description: partial 16S ribosomal RNA
Rfam family: Bacterial small subunit ribosomal RNA
Source: RNAcentral